RNAcentral lists this ribosomal RNA (551 nucleotides) under uncultured bacterium. RNAcentral describes it as "partial 16S ribosomal RNA". It matches the Rfam family "Bacterial small subunit ribosomal RNA", at positions 355 to 898 of the family's 1533-position model. The record is from RNAcentral.
UAGGGAAUCUUCCACAAUGGACGCAAGUCUGAUGGAGCAACGCCGCGUGAGUGAAGAAGGUUUUCGGACCGUAAAGCUCUGUUGUUGGUGAAGAAGGAUAGAGGUAGUAACUGGCCUUUAUUUGACGGUAAUCAACCAGAAAGUCACGGCUAACUACGUGCCAGCAGCCGCGAUAAUACGUAGGUGGCAAGCGUUGUCCGGAUUUAUUGGGCGUAAAGCGAGCGCAGGCGGAAGAAUAAGUCUGAUGUGAAAGCCCUCGGCUUAACCGAGGAAUUGCAUCGGAAACUGUUUUCUUGAGUGCAGAAGAGGAGAGUAGAACUCCAUGUGUAGCGGUGGAAUGCGUAGAUAUAUGGAAGAAUACCAGUGGCGAAGGCGGCUCUCUGGUCUGCAACUGACGCUGAGGCUCGAAAGCAUGGGUAGCGAACAGGAUUAGAUACCCUGGUAGUCCAUGCCGUAAACGAUGAGUGCUAAGUGUUGGGAGGCUUCCGCCUCUCAGUGCUGCAGCUAACGCAUUAAGCACUCCGCCUGGGGAGUACGACCGCAAGGUUGAA